This is a long non-coding RNA of Felis catus (domestic cat), 899 nucleotides long. RefSeq lists it as uncharacterized. Lineage: Eukaryota; Metazoa; Chordata; Mammalia; Carnivora; Felidae. The transcript is spliced from 4 exons. The record is from RefSeq and is a predicted model, not a curated record.
GUGGGCUGGUGAGGGAAUGUGGAGCCCCUGGGGACCACAUAUAUAUACGGGUCUGCACUUUUUGCAGACCUUUCUCAUAGAAAAGACUGACCAAAGUUCUGAGAAUCUCUCUGUGGGGCAGAUCUGGGGAAGGAGGUGGGGGGGCGGAAAGGCCACUACAGAGAGCCAUGAAAUGAUCCCUUCCCCUCCUUGCCCCUUCUGGAACAAAAGCCUCAAUCUGAAGGAGAAAGGACAAAACCUUUUCCUUACAGCACCGAUAAAACUGAGGGAAGGAAACAGAAAAACAAAAACAAAACCCUUCCACCCUAACCCAGCGGCAAGAGUUCAGAAAACGAAAACUAAAUCUUUAUUGGCCACAGAUGCAUUCUACCAGAAAUGUUGUUCUUCAAGCAGGAACAUGUAUCUAAACAAAGAUAUGAAGAAUACUGAGAACUGAAUAAUUGAAGAUCCCCUUCUUUCCUUUAUGGAGACGGAAGACGUCUAGGGAAUCUGAGGCUGUCACCCUUCGCUCUGUCAGGACAUUGAUUUGAUAUGCAAUUAAAGAAUAAUUGCGUGGCUUGUUUCCUGGAGAUUGGUGCCUUCCGUGGACUGAAUCGUUGAAGACUGGGAGGGAGCUUUUUGCUGACAGCAUGGAACCUGAGCCCCUUUGCUCGCCCUCUAGCAAGUUCCCUUCUACUGCAUUGUUGGAGACCACUUCUUCCCACAGCCCUUGGAAGACUGGCCGUCAGAAGCUGAAGUUGGAGAUCACAGGGCAGAGGGAAACAGAAAGGGAGAAAACUAGGGUUUGUAUUUUGGGGAUUGAAGGUGAAUCCAUCACAUCAGACCAGAAACAUCUAAUAGUUGUAUUUUAGCCCUCCCAAGAUUCUUUUCUGGAAGUUUUAGAGGAAUAAAUGAGAAAA